GUGAAUCAUCAAAUCUUUGAACGCAAAUUGCACUCUCCGGUUUUCCGGGAGAGUAUGCCUGUUUGAGGGCCAGCCUAAAUAAAAUCGGCUUAGUAGUUCGCUGUGUGUUUCACGGUAACGUUGGUCGGAACUUGGGUCAUCUUAAACCGAAAGGUUCUUAAGCGACUUAUAAUUUUCUUACGAUCUCGCGUACGUUUCUAAGAUUUUUCUGCA
This 213-nucleotide unclassified non-coding RNA is filed under the name Glomus sp. RNAcentral's name for it is "partial contains 5.8S ribosomal RNA and internal transcribed spacer 2". The stretch from base 1 to 72 matches the Rfam family "5.8S ribosomal RNA", at positions 84 to 154 of the family's 154-position model. The record is from RNAcentral. Lineage: Eukaryota; Fungi; Glomeromycota; Glomeromycetes; Glomerales; Glomeraceae.